RNAcentral lists this ribosomal RNA (466 nucleotides) under uncultured bacterium. Its description in RNAcentral is "partial 16S ribosomal RNA". It matches the Rfam family "Bacterial small subunit ribosomal RNA", at positions 28 to 507 of the family's 1533-position model. The record is from RNAcentral.
GACGAACGCUGGCGGCGCGCCUAACACAUGCAAGUCGAACGAGCGAGCGAGAGCUUGCUUUCUCAAGCGAGUGGCGAACGGGUGAGUAACGCGUGAGGAACCUGCCUCAAAGAGGGGGACAACAGUUGGAAACGACUGCUAAUACCGCAUAAGCCCACAGGUCGGCAUCGACCAGAGGGAGAAGGAGCAAUCCGCUUUGAGAUGGCCUCGCGUCCGAUUAGCUAGUUGGUGAGGUAACGGCCCACCAAGGCAACGAUCGGUAGCCGGACUGAGAGGUUGAACGGCCACAUUGGGACUGAGACACGGCCCAGACUCCUACGGGAGGCAGCAGUGGGGAAUAUUGCACAAUGGGGGAAACCCUGAUGCAGCGACGCCGCGUGGAGGAAGAAGGUCUUCGGAUUGUAAACUCCUGUUGUUGAGGAAGAUAAUGACGGUACUCAACAAGGAAGUGACGGCUAACUACGUG